AGCCAUCUCGCUAAUAAUUAUGGACCCGAAGGUCUGUGGUAAACUACUCACACAUCAUCGGAGAGGCUAUGGUGUUGGUGUAGAAGCCCUCCGUGAUCGAAUCCCCUCCAGCAGAUUGCUGGAAAAGGUCCCCAAAUGGGAUCUCACAGGUACAGAAGGUUGCGGCGGUGGAAAAGUGGUUUCGUGGCUCCCCUGGAUGUUUUCAGGGUAUAAGAGUAUAUAUAGGCGAAAUAAGUAGGUAGGUGGAGCUACGAGGGGCCCACGAGGGUGGGGGGUGCGCCUGCCCCCCUGGGCGCGCCGCUCUACCUCAUGGCCGCCUCAUGGCUUUCUUGACCUCCACUCCAAGUCUCCUGGAUUGUGUUUGUUCCAAAAAAGAUCCUCGCGAAGGUUUCAUUCUGUUUGGAUUCCGUUUGAUAUUCCUUUUCUGCGAAACCCUGAAAUAGGAAAAAAGUAGCAAUUUGCACUGGGCCUUUGGUUAAUAGGUUAGUCGCAAAAAUAAUAUAAAAGUGCAUAACAAAGCCCAUUAAACAUCCAAAACGGAUAAUAUAAUAGCAUGGAACAAUAAAAAAUUAUAGAUACAUUGGAGACGUAUCAAGCAUCCCCAAGCUUAAUUCCUUCUCGUCCUCGAGUAGGUAAAUGAUAAAAACAGAAUUUUUGAUGUGGAAUGCUACCUAACAUAAUUUUCAAUGUAAUUUUCUUUAUUGUGGCAUGAACAUUCAGAUCCGAAAGAUUCAAGACAAAAGUUUAAUAUUGACAUAAAAAUAAUAAUAAUUCAAGCAUGUUAACCAAGUAAUUAUGUCUUAGCAAAUAACAUAGCCAAAGAAAGCCUAUCCCUACAAAAUCAUAUAGUUUGGCCAUGCUUAAUUUUCGUCACAAAAAAUGCUCCCAUCAUGCACAACCCCGAUGACAAGCCAAGUAGUUGUUUCGUACUUAGCAUUUUCAAACUCUUUCAAUUUUCACGCAAUAUACGAGCACGAGCCAUGGACAUAGCACUAUGGGUGGAAUAGAAUAUGAUGAUGGAGGUUGUUUGAGAAGACAAAAAAGGGAGAAAGUCUCACAUUGACACGGCUAAUCAACGGGCUAUGGAGAUGCCCAUUAGUUGAUGUCAAUGCAAGGAGUAGGGAUUGCCAUGCAACGGAUGCACUAGAGCUAUAAAUAUAUGAAAGCUCAAUAAAAUAAACUAAGUGGGUGUGCAUCGAACUUGCUUGCUAACGAAUACCUAGGGCAUUUUGAGGAAGCCCAUCGUUGGAAUAUACAAGCCAAGUUCUAUAAUAAAGAAUUCCCACUAGUAUAUGAAAGUGAUAAAAUAGGAGACUCUCUAUCAUGAAGAUCAUGGUGCUACUUUGAAGCACAAGUGUGGAAAAAGGAUAGUAACAUUGCCCCUUCUCUCUUUUUCUCUCAUUUUUUUCUUUUUUUAUGGCAUCCUCUUUUUUUAUGGCCUCUCUCUUUUUUUCGUCCGGAGUCUCAUCCCGACUUGUGGGGGAAUCAUAGUCUCCAUCAUCCUUUCCUCACAUGGGACAAUGCUCUAAUAAUGAAAGUCAUCACACUUUUAUUUACUUACAACUCAAGAAUUACAACUCGAUACUUAGAACAAAUUAUGACUCUAUAUGAAUGCCUCCGGUGGUGUACCGGGAUACGCGAUGAAUCAAGAGUGACAUGUAUGAAGGAAAUACGAAGGUGGCUUUGGCACAAAUACGAUGCCAACUGCAUAAUCAUGCAAAGCAAUAUGAUAAUAAUGGAGCAUGUCAUAAUAAACGGAAUGGUAGAAAGUUGCAUGGCAAUAUAUCUUGGAAUGGCUAUGGAAAUGCCAUAAUAGGUAGGUAUGGUGGCUGUUUUGAGCAAGAUAUAAGGAGGUUUAUGUGUGAUUGUCACAUCCCUAGUUCUGGUAUGCACUAGGCUAACCCUUCAUGUGUGCAUCAUGUUUAAAUUUCUCAAAAACUUGAAAUGGGGAUUGCCUAAACCACUAGCAUCAAAGGAAUUCACUAGGUUCACCUAAAUUAUUUUCAGUACAUCCAAAUGGCUUUCAAGAAUGUUCAUCAUUUAUGGAAAAUGCUAUAAACAGUAACCAGAGGUGAUGCACAUUUUUCCAUGACAUAUUUGGGCUCUAAAUCAUACUUUAUUUGCAUUUGGGCAUUUAAAUACUAUAAAUCAUUUUAAAUGUCCAAAUGAUCUUGAUAGUAAAUGAGGGCUGUUGGAAAUAUUCCAAACAGAGCCCACAAAUAUUUCAAGAUUUGUGAAAAUGCUCUAGCAUUUUUAUUAAAGCAAAAAUUUUUACAGAAAAUAGAAAAACAGAAACUAAAUAGAAAAUCGGAGAGACAGGGCACUGUACCUGGCAGCAGACUUACCUGGCCCAACUAGCGGCCCAGCCCACGCAGCCAUCCGCCAGUCAUCGUCCUCCUCCAGCCAGAAGGACGAGAGUGCGUGGCCACCGCGCGCAAGCACACGCCCCGGCCACCUCCUGCUUCUGCCGACGCCCUGGACGACCCCAGAGGGCGCCACGCACCUCCCUGCCUCUCUCUCUCACUCUCCCUCGCUCUCACCCCCUUCCCUGGAUCCCUCUCUUUCGUGCCCGAGCACACCACAGCGCGCCGCCGAGCACCACCAUGGUCGUCGCCCCUCCCUCGUCCCCUCGAGCAGUACAGAGGCCCCAUGUCGGUGUCAAAACCGGCGGAUCUCGGGUAGGGGGUCCCGAACUGUGCGUCAAGGCCGGAUGGUAACAGGAGACAAGGUACACGAUGUUUUACCCAGGUUUGGGCCCUCUCGAUGGAGGUAAUACCCUACUCCUGCUUGAUUAAUAUUGAUGACAUGGGUAGUACAAGAGUAGAUCUACCACGAGAUCAAGGAGGCUAAACCCUAGAAGCUAGCCUAUGGUAUGAUUGUUGUAUAUGGAGUUGAUCGCCUACGGACUACAACCCUCCGGUUUAUAUAGACACCGGAUAGGGUUAGGGUUACAUCGAGUCGGUUACAAUGGUAGGAGAUCUUGAAUAUCCGCAUCCCCAAGCUUGCCUUCCACGCCAAGGAAAGUCCCAUCCGGACACGGGACGAAGUCUUCAAUCUUUUAUCUUCAUAGUCCAGGAGUCCGGCUGAAGGUAUAGUCCGGCUACCCGAACACCCCCUAAUCCAGGACUCCCUCAGUAGCCCCUGAACCAGGCUUCAAUGACGAUGAGUCCGGCGUGCACAUUGUCUUCGGCAUUGCAAGGCGGGUUCCUCCUCCAAGUCCUUCAUAGAAGAUUGUAAACACCAAGAGUAGUGUCCGGCUCUGCAAAAAAAGCUUCCAUGUAUUGCCAUAGAGAGAAUAAUAUUAACACAAAUCUAAUCCGCUGACGUAUUCCGCAGCGUGACAUCACACUAUGGCCAAGUUCUUCACUCGAAUUGUUUUCACUUUUCCACCUCAACGUCUUUUGCGAGGCGGUUUCCUUGGCACGUCUUGUCAACGCAGAGAUCGUGUACCCCCCUUUUACGGGAUUCUCAUCAAUACGGACGUGGGUAACCCAACCGCGCCACUUAUCAUGGCGCUUGGGAGGCAAGCGAGUUUUAGUAGGCUGGUGGGGAUGCAUAGUCGCAUCCGCCCAUAUAAGGGGAUAAGGAUCCACCUUUUUACCUACGCCUUCUUCCUCCUUUGCCUAUCCAUCUUCUGCGCACCCGAGCUCCAGCGCCUGAGCCCGCACUUCCUACCUCAACCCUCUCCAACAAUGUCCGGAGCGGGAGGCAAAUGGAUGGUCUCCUCCAUCACGGAGGGCCAUGUCAAAAGGUUAAGGAAGGCCGGAUACUUGUCCAAAUACAUCGCGCACCGGCUUCCUGAGGAGGGGCAGCUUCUCCCCACCCCAAGGCCCCAUGAGAGGGUAGUAUUUCUCCCCCACUUCCUCCGCGGACUGGGUUUUCCACUCCACCCAUUUGUCCAGGGGCUCAUGUUCUACUACAGCCUGGAUUUCCACGAUCUGGCUCCGAACUUCAUCCUCAACAUCUCGGCGUUUAUCGUCAUGUGCGAGGCUUUUCUCCGCGUCUGCCCCCAUUUCGGCCUCUGGAUCAAGACCUUCAACGUCAAGCCCAAGGUGGUGCGCGGCAGCCAGGCGAAGUGCAGAGGCGCCAUGGCGGGCAAGAUGGCCAACGUCCUAUGGCUCGAGGGCUCCUUCAUGGAGACCCUGAAGGGGUGGCAAUCGUGGUGGUUUUACAUCACCGAGCCGCGCGAUCCGAAAUAGAUCACAACCCCCGAGUUCCGAUCCGGACCCCCCAUGCGGCUUAUGUCCUGGAAAGAGACGGGCCUAUCGAUGGGCGAUGAAAAAGAAGUGACCGGAUUGCAUACAUGCAUCCAGUCCCUGGUGAGCAAGCCGAUCAAGCUUGUCAAUGUAGUCCAGGUCAUGCUCGUCCGCCGGAUCCUCCCGUGUCAACAACGGGACUUUACUCUGUGGAAGUUCGACCCGGCACAACACCAAACCCUUAACAGGCUCUUCGGCACGACGUAUGAAGACGUCUGGAAGGUGCUAACCAAAGGCGCCGAGGCUCCCACAUCCGCUUUCGAGGACCGCGGAUACAGCUCGCAGCGGCACGCUAGCGAGGCAAGCUAUUUUUACCUUUUACAGGAUGUUAAGUUUUUUCAUAGUUUGACUCUAUGCGGGAUCUAAACUCCCUCACCUUUGACAGGCUUGGCGGGCGAAGUCCGGAUCGAUUAACUGUCCGGCUCCCUUGCCCGAAGACCCAGCCCCUGCUCUCCUAGAGAAGCUGCUGGUUCCCGCACCUUAUGUGGUGCCGGAGAAGAAGGCCAAGAAGAAGAAGGCCAUGGGGACUCGAAAGAGUGCCCGUAAUGUGGUGGUGUUGGACUCGUCAUCCGACGAGUCCGAGACACUCUCCUCCCAUGAGAACGAGGAGGAGGAAGAAGAAAACUCUCCCCCUCCAGCGGGGGGAGGAAAGAAAAGGAAGGCCGCCCCAACAGGGGACACCGAAGGGUCCAGGAAGAGGAAGACCCCUCCGCCGAACUACUCCCCCGACGCCGAAGAGGACGAAGAGGAGUGGCCAGAUAGAGCCAAGCGUUCGGCGAAAUCGUAAGUAUUCAGAUAUCAGAGUAACUCAUGACGUUCCUUUGUUGCACAGCUUUCCCUAAUGUCGAAUCAUAAUUAUGCAGCCCGCCCCGGGCCGAACUCGACAAGUCGUCGAGCGGCUCCCUGGAUUCAUCGGACGUGAACUCAUUUCCGCCCGCUGUCUCCCCCCGCACUGCGGACGACGCCGAAGUGGCGUCGCAACAAGCUCCGGGGCAGGAGGAGGUGGUCCUGGAGGAGCCGCAAGGCGACCUCCCGGACCCCAGGAGUAAAGGGGACAAGACCCCCCAGGGCUCCAAGUCCGGCUUUGAGCCGGACACCGCGCCGGAAUCUUCAACAGUUCCGUACCGCAGUAGGUGAACUCCUUCCAAGAGGAGCAAGCCUUCUAAGCCGACGGCCUCCAUCCAACCGGAGGUGCCGGACAAUCUGCUGGAGGUGCUUGACGGCGCCUCCAUCGACGAGGAGCACCAUACUAUUAUGAGUACGGUGAUCCAGAAGGUUCAGUCCGCCAAGAGCGGACUGAGUGAAGCUUGCGCUAGCCUUUUAACAGGCUUCGAGGUAAGUAAAAAAUAUGUAAGAAUAUAACCGCAUAGACAGUAGCCCCUGAUGCUGUGUUUGGCGUUCGAAAAGAAAAGCCGAAUAGAGGAUCUAUUAAAUUUCACAGGAGUCUAACAACAAAGAGUCAAUAUGCAUAUGCAGGCUUCGCUGCUAGCCACCACCGCACUGACUGCGGAGGUGGGUGCCCUGAAACAGGGACUCGAGCGGGCCGAGCAAGAGCUCGGCCUUGCCAAGCGGCAGCUCAAGGAGAAAGAAGGUAAGAAAUACCUUACAGAAAAAAUGCCUAUAGGAAGGCGCAAUUGCAAAAACUGACAGGAGUAUACUGCUUAUUGUAGGGGCCACAACUGAGGUGGCGACCCUCAAGCAGGCGUUGUCCGAGGCCGAGAAGAAAGCGGCCACGGAGCGUGCUGAGCGGGAGAAAUUUGAGGCGCAGGUCAGCGGGGUGCGGCAAGAGCUUCAAGUUCUCAUGCAAAAACAUGAGAGUUUGGAGCUCGACUCGAAGACGCGAGCGUCCGAGCUUGCUGCGGCCCUUAAAACUGCCAAAUCUGCCCAGGCCGAAGCCCAGAAGGCCCUCCAAGAGUUGGAGGAGACGAAGAAGAUUGCAGCGGGUAAGGCAUUCUUUAUGCAAAGCAGAAAUAUAAAAGUGAACUACUUGUUACUUACCCGAAUCCGGAGCUCUCCAGGGGCAUUCGCAGAUCUUCCCUGCAGCGUAUCCGCCGCCGCCGCAUUCUACCGAGCUGAAGAGGGCAGCUCGACGGAGAAGGUGUUCUGGUCUCAGUAUGCUGAGGCCGGACACCCUGUGCCCUUGAGCGACCAGCUGAAAUAGCUGGUCGAGCUCCACAAGGCGGCCGAACAGGCCAUGAAGGGCUUCAUAGUUCGGCUGUGGCCCGGAGAGGCCCUGCCUGGGAGCUACUUUGGGCUGGUGCGGCGGCUGGUGGAGGCCUGUCCAAGGCUCGAGGUCAUCAAGCGCUCUGUCUACAUCGAAGGUGCCAGUAGGGCCCUUGCCCGUGCUAAGGUGCACUGGGGUAAGCUGGAAGGUGAGAAGCUAGUGAUGGAGGGGCCGCCGCCGGGGAAGGAGCAUCGCAAGCCCGAGAACUACUAUAAGGAUGUUCUUGCGGGUGCCCGCCUUGUGGCGGAUGAAUGUACCAAGGAUGUAAUUUUUGAAUGAACUCGCUCGUGUUUAUCCUAUGUGCUGAAAACUUGUUCAUAGGCGCUAAGCAAUGCUUGUUGAAUUUAAAAUAUUAUUUUCUGUGCGGCCGUUUAUCAAAAAAUUGAGAGAUGGCCAGUCGUCGGCUUCUGCCCCCAUGCCACUAGUGCUGGGGUGUUCGGGAUAAACCUGAGCGCUCUUUUUCCCAUAGUUGGGUCCUUCGAGGGAGGCGCUCAGCACAACGAACCAGGCAAUCGGACUAUAAUGCUUGAACACUCUCACUUAGCCAUAGAACUUUAUAAUUUUAAAUUUCGGCGAAGCCCCUAGUUCGGAAGACCGAGUUCGGGGCGCUAUCCACGCCUUGGCCGGACAAAUCCGGCUCCUCGCUUGAAAUGGCAUAAGUCUUUAGGGACUCGAAAAACCUCUCGAACAGCGACCGGUCUCUCGCCUCAUCAUGACAGUCAGUUUUAGCUUUCUCCACUGAGGUGCUUAACCCAGCUCAAUCGGGGCACAAUCGCAGUGGUUCUCCUAGUGCUACCUUAGCCGAUAUAGCGGAACGCAAGGCACCAAAACAUAGGAGCCGGGCAAACCCAACUAUUGACCCAAAUCAUGAUUCAGAGCCGAUGCAUAUAGUGCUAUAAGUUCGGGGUGCCGCACUUGUGAAAGUGUACGGGCUUCUCACACCAUAUUGAGGGGUAUCAAAGCCCCUGGCAUAUUUUGCCAUACCAUAGUGUACGGGUGCAACAUGUCAUUUAAUAAACAUAAAUGUGAAAAGAAGAUAAUGCAAAAAAUAGACAAGAAGCUAAGCAUUGUUUAUAGAGAGGCUAUUUAUCAAAGCCGAACGAUACAAAUAGUGCAGUAAGCAAAAUAUAUUGGACUAUUCAGUAUGUCCUGACCAGCGGCAGGCCGCGGAAUUGUAUUUAAAAUAGGUAUACCGCUUGUAACAGAGACCACCUGGGAGUUCCAUAAUGCGGCAUGGCUUGUCUGCCUCCCUGGAUCUUGCAUCGUUUGUGCGGCAGUCGAAUUGCCGAACAGGUCGUCCGAAGUAUGGAGUCCUGAAAGUAAGAAAAAAAUAAAAAAAGAAUCCGGCAGCCCCUAGUACGUUUUAAGCCAUAUUUUGGGCGUGCCGUUGUUGUGCCCCUUCCCCUGUGCCCAUGGUAUUUCAAGAGCGUAGUUAUGUACGCGCGGUACUGGUUUCGCUAUGUCGCGGAAGCUGGGGUUGCGGCCGCAUUGCUACGCUUGCUCAGAGUGUGCCAGGCGGUCCUGCUGUGGGUUACUCCGGGCGCGCUUGGCAGUGUCUGGCUUUUUAAUGGCCGGACUGGAGAAUUGCCUAAGAAGGCUACUUUGUACUUCCGCUGCGAGAGCCGCCGUAUGCUCCUCCGUACGGAGGGAGCGUUUGGUGUUUCCGUUGACCAUAAUUACUCCUCGAGGGCCUGGCAUCUUGAGCUUGAGAUAUGCGUAGUGCGGCACCGCAUUGAACUUUGCGAAUGCGGUUCAUCCGAGCAGGGCGUGAUAGCCACUGCGAAACGGGACUAUAUCGAAGAUUAACUCUUUGCUUCGGAAAUUGUCCGGGGAUCUGAAGACCACAUCAAGUGUUACUGAGCCUGUACAGUUGGCUUCUACACCUGGUAUAACGCCUUUAAAGGUCGUUCUUGUGGGCUUAAUCCUUGAGGGAUCUAUGCCCAUUUUCCGCACUGUAUCCUGAUAAAGCAGGUUCAGGCUACUGCCGCCGUCCAUGAGGACUCUUGUGAGAUGAGGUCGAGAACCAAUGCGGCGAAGCCUCCAUGACGGAUGCUAGUGGGAUGGUCCCUUUGAUCAAAGGUGAUCGGGCAGGAGGACCAUGGGUUGAACUUUGGGGCGACUGGCUCCAUUGCGUAUACGUCCCGUAGCGCACGCUUCCGCUCCCGCUUGGGAAUGUGGGUUGCGUAUAUCAUGUUCGCCGUCCGCACUUGUGGGGGAAAGCCCUUUUGUCCAUUGUUGUUCGGCGGCUUGGGCUCCUCGUCGUCGCUGUGCAGCCCCUUGUCUCUGUUUUCGGCCCUUAACUUUCCUGCCUGCUUGAACACCCAACAAUCCCUGUUAGUGUGAUUGGCUGGCCUUUCGGGGGUGCCAUGUAUCUGGCACAAGCGAUCGAGUAUUCGGUCCAAACUGGAUGGGCCCUGAGUAUUCUUUUUGAAUGGCCUUUUCCGCUGACCGGAUUUAUAGCCUUUGAAUCCGGCAUUGACUGCCGUGUCUUCAUUGCUAUCGCUGUUAACACGGAGUUUUUGCUUAUUCCGACGUGUCCUGCCACUUUUGUCCUUGGUAUCUGAAUUACCAGGGUUCUUUGAUAAGUUGUUACUGCGAGCUAGCCAGCUGUCUUCUCCCGCGCAAAAGAGGGUCAUGAGUGUCGUGAGGGCUGCCAUGGAUUUCAGCUUUUCCUGUCCCAGGUGUCGGGCCAGCCACUCGUCGCGGAUGUUAUGCUUGAAGGCUGCUAGGGCCUCUGCAUCCGGACAGUCGACUAUCUGGUUUUUCUUUGUUAGGAAUCGUGUCCAGAAUUGUCUGGCCGAUUCCUCUGGCUGCUGAAUUAUGUGGCUUAAGUUGUUGGCAUCCGGCGGUCGCACGUAAGUGCCCUGGAAGUUGUCGAGGAAUGCGGCUUCCAGGUCCUCCCAAGGACCGAUUGAGUCUGCUGGCAAGCUGUUAAGCCAAUGUCGGGCCGGUCCUUUAAGUUUGAGUGGGAGGUAUUUGAUGGCGUGUAGAUCAUCGCCGCGUGCCAUGUGGAUGUGAAGGAGAUAAUCCUUGAUCCAUACUGCCGGAUCUGUUGUGCCAUCGUAUGAUUCGAUGUUUACGGGUUUGAAACCCUCUGGGAUUUUAUGAUCCAUUACUUCAUUUGUGAAGCAUAGCGGGUGUGCGGCGCCUCUGUACUGGGCUAUAUCACGACGCAGCUCGGAAGAGCUAUGUCUGUUGUGUUCGGCCCGGCCGGAUUUGUUGUAUCCGGAAUGAAGAUCAUUGUCACAUGCCAUAGGGCGCCUGCGCGAUCCGUAGAUCGAUCUUCUUUGUCUUGCCUUAUCCUCCAGUAUAUCUCGCAGGUCGGGCGCAUUUUCCCAUGCCUUAGUUGAGCGGCGUCGGGGCAUGGCUUGGGUGGAGGGCCGAGAGGCCUCUCUGUCGCGGCCACGAGGUGGCCAGUCUGCCAUGUCAUGCGCUGGUGAUGUAGGUGCUUCCUCCUCUGAUCGGGGUAGUGGCCUGCACUUCGGGUAACUCUUGGAGGGGCGUUCGAGUUCAUACUCUUCAGCCGCAAGGUCUUCAGUCCAUUUGUCAGCUAGCAAAUCUUGGGCAGCUCUAAGUUGUUGCUGCUUUUUCUUGAGGCUGCUUGCCGUGGCUAAAAGCCUGCGUUUAAAACGCUCUUGUUCGGCGGGGUCUGAUGGUAUGAUGAAUUCGUCGUCAUCGAGGCUUGCCUCGUCUUCGGAGGGAGGCGUAUAGUUAUCAUCCUCGACCUCUCGGUCUGCCGCUCUCUCAUGAGGGCUGGCUUCUCCAUCUUCAUGUGCCGAAUCUUCCUGAGGUGGGUGUUCUUCGGCGCUAUCCGGGGUAGUAUUAUCUCCCAUGCCGGAAUCACCGUUUUUGCUUUGGCGGGAUUUAGAGCGGUGCCGCUGACGCCGGCACUUUGGCUGUUUCUUGGGGGCGUCAUCCCCCACUGUUCCAUCGCCAUCUCCAUCUUUUGGAGUAUCCACCAUAUAUAUGUCAUAUGACAAGGUGGCCUUCCAGCGCCCUACAGGUGCUGGUUCCUGUUCGUCUCCUACAUCGUCGUCCAUCCCAUCGAUGUCUUCAGAGCUGAAGUCAAGCAUGUCGGUUAGAUCGUCGACAGUGGCUACAAAGUGGGUGGUGGGUGGGCUUUGAAUUUCCUUAUCAUCCGUAUCCCCCCCUCGUUGACCAUAGUCCGGCCAGGGCUCUCCUUAUAAAGAGAGAGACUUAAGAGAAUUCCGGAUGUCGCCAAAAGGCGAAUGCUGAAAGAUGUCUGCGGCGGUGAACUCCAUUAUCGGCGCCCAAUUGGAUUCGAUUGGCAGGGGCGUGGGGGGUUCGGAGUCUAGGGAGGAGUCCAGAUCCUCGGAGUCACGGGUCGUGCAGAGUGCGGGGCUAGCGUUCGGCUCGAUCGUCUUUGAGAUCGCAGCCCCCGAGGUGACGUCCAACCGCUCAUCCUCGAUUAGCGCAAUAGGCUCUGAGUUAGGGGUCGGAACCGAUGCGUGUGCGGCCUCCAGGACACUGUCCGGAGGCAGAGCUAGAUCAUGCCUCUCGAGAUAGUGCGGCGCGCUUGGCCGUGGCUCGAACCCGUCGAAGAUCAAGUCUUCGCGGAUAUCAGCUGUGUAGUUUAAGCUUCCAAACCUGACUUGAUGGCCAGGGGCGUAGCUUUCGAUCUGCUCCAGGUGGCCGAGCAAAUUGGCCCGCAGAGCGAAGCCGCCGAAGACGAAGAUCUGUCCGAGGAGAAAAGUCUCACCCUGGACCGCAUCGUUGUUGAUGAUCAAAGGAGCCAUCAGGCCUAAAGGCGACGACACAGAGGAACUCUCAAUGAAAGCACCAAUGUCGGUGUCAAAACCGGCGGAUCUCGGGUAGGGGGUCCCGAACUGUGUGUCAAGUCCGGAUGGUAACAGGAGACAAGGGACACGAUAUUUUUACCCAGGUUCGGGCCCUCUCGAUGGAGGUAAUACCCUACUCCUGCUUGAUUAAUAUUGAUGAUAUGGGUAGUACAAGAGUAGAUCUACCACGAGAUCAAGGAGGCUAAACCCUAGAAGCUAGCCUAUGGUAUGAUUGUUGUAUAUGGAGUUGAUCGCCUACGGACUACAACCCUCCGGUUUAUAUAGACACCGGAUAGGGUUAGGGUUACAUCGAGUCAGUUGCAAUGGUAGGAGAUCUUGAAUAUCCGCAUCGCCAAGCUUGCCUUCCACGCCAAGGAAAGUCCCAUCCGGAAACGGGAUGAAGUCUUCAAUCUUGUAUCUUCAUAGUCCAGGAGUCCGGCUGAAGGUAUAGUCCGGCUACCCGAACACCCCCUAAUCCAGGACUCCCUCACCCCGCCUCGUCACCCUCGUCCUCUUCGUCGAGCCACGCGGCACUCGACGCCCCCGAACGUCAUCACUGCGGUCGUCUUCUACCUCGGCCAACCGAGAUCGCCGGCGCCCAUCCGUCGUCCACGGUGCCUCCCCGAGCCCGCUGAGGCCUCCAUUGGAAUCCAUGUGAGCUCCCGCUCCGAACCCCUCUCUUCCCCGCCUCUUUUGCGCCGUGUAGCCCUAGUUUCACCGGAGCCGAUAGCUCCUCGCCGCCGGCCAUGCCGCCACCGCGGCUACGGCUGCGCAAGCUCGGCUCCAAGCACGUCAACACACUUAGGGAGUCUCCAGGAGCUCGAAUCACCUGCCAGUUAGUCCUGCCCUGCACCGUAGCCACAACCCCGUGAAAACUCGAAAUCUGUCCGCCGCCGCGAGCUUGAUUCCGGAAAGCUUGGGCCGUCCUAGCCCCUCCCUCCUGCCCUAGUAGAUGCGCGCGAAUGCCAGCUCACCGUAGAGCCAAACCCCACAGAAAGUGCGUUAUAUCGACUAGAGGGGGGUGAAUAGGCGAUUUUUAUGAAAGUCUUCAAAAUGUGGAAGUUUCGAAGACAAACGAUAGAAAUAAACCUAUUACCAUGCAGCGGAAGGUAGACUACACUAGGCAAACCAUUGUCAAGUAUUCAAUGGAGUGACAACACAAUGACUAAUAGCAGCAAUCUAGUAAGGAUCAGGUAGGAAGAUGUUAUGAAGCCAAACAGAACACACAGUCACUCAGUGAAGACAAAAGAUAGUGCAAACAUACAAUGACUUCACAAGGAGUAACAGUAAGUAAAGGGAAGGGAAGGAUGAAACCAGUGACUCGUUGAAGACAAUGAUUUGUUGGACCAGUUCCAGUUGUUGUGACAACUGUACGUCUGGUUAGGGCGGCUAGGUAUUUAAACCUGAGGACACACAGUCCCGGACACCCAGUCUUGAACACGCAGCUCAGGACACCAGUCCUCGCCGUAUUCCCCUUGAGCUAAGGUCACACAGACCUCGCCCAAUCACUCUGGUAAGUCUUCAAGGUAGACUCCCAAACCUUCACAGACUUCUUUCACCUGCGAUCCACAAUGUCUCUUGGAUGCUCAGAACGCGACGCCUAACCGGCUGGAGGAUUCACAAUCCUCAAGUGUAAUAAGUCUUCAGAUCACACAGACAAGAAGACUUAAGUGAUGCCUAAUUCUCUUUGGCUCUGGGUGGUUAGGGCUUUAUCCUCGCAAGGAAUUCUCUCUCAAAGGCUUCGAGGUGGGUUGCUCUCAAAUGACAAAAGCCGUACUCUAACUCUGAGCAGCCAACCAUUUAUGGUUGUAGGGGGUGUGCUAUUUAUGGCCACUAGGCAACCCGACCUGAUUUGUCCGAAAUGACCCUGGGUCACUAAGGAACUGACACGUGUUCCAACGGUCAGAUUUCAAACUCACACGGCAACUUUACUUGGGCUACAAGCAAAGCUGACUUGUCCGACUCUGGACAAGACUCGCUCUCAUAGUCUUCACUCGAAGACAUAGGUUUUGGUUAAGCAUCACUUCAGUCAUUCUGACUGGUUCUCUUGGACCCCACUUAAUAGUACGGUGGUUCCUAUGACUCAACAAAGAAGAAAAAGAACUACGAAAGAUCUAAGUCUUCGAGCUCCAUAGGCUUCAUGCGAUGUCUUCUCUUGUCAUAGUCUUCAAUGUGAAUAUCUUCAUAUACCACCUUUGACAUCAAUGUCUUCAUACAUUUUUAGCGGUCAUCUCUGGUAGGAAAACCGAAUCAAUGAGGGACUUCUACAUGUGUUAUCCUACAAUUCUCACAAACACAUUAGUCCCUCAACUAGGUUUGUCGUCAAUACUCCAAAACCAACUAGGGGUGGCACUAGAUGCACUUACAAUCUCCCCCUUUUUGGUGAUUGAUGACAAACUAGUUGAAGUUUUCAAUGGGGAAUAUAAUAUGUGAAAUUGUAAAGGAUAAGGAAUUGUAUUCAUAAGUUGCAAGGGCUCCCCCUGAAGAUGUGCAUAUAAGUAAUUUGCUUUUGGAAUGCAAAUGCACAUGGCAGGUUGUGCUUGUGGAGAUCCUCUUCAACUUAUGAUGACACAUGUGAAGGUAUGUGAAGAUAAUGACAUGCAUAAUGGAAAAUGGACGUCUGCAAAAUGAUCUAAGUGCGGAAUUUAUCGUCGCACAUGCGGAAUUUAUCAUUGCAUCACGAGGUGGCAAAUAAGUAGCAGACGACCAUCGAGUUUAAGUGUUACAACUCAAAGAACCAACUGUAUCAAAGAAAACGAGAGUUGUAAACACGAAGCAAAAAGUAUAAAGCACCCGCCCAUAUGGACCCGCUUGAAGACUAUCAAACUCAUAUGCUUCUCCCCCUUUUGUCAGUAAGGACCAAAAAGGUUUGAAGAUAUAGAGCAUCUACUCGUUCCCAUGAAGAGUAGGUGAAGCAGCAGGGUCAUCGGUGGUGUUCGACAGUGCAGAAGAACUUGGAGCAGUGUCGAAGCGUGCUGAAGGAGGUGGCGGUGAAGUAGCAUCAUCUUCAUCCUCGAUCACUCUGGCAUUCACAGUUGCAGCAGAGGAAGAGAACUCAGAGUCUUCAAGAGAUGGAGUUCGUCGUAGCACUGCCCUUUGAGGAGGUGUGGAGUCAAACUUGAAGCAUUCAGAGAAGCCAUCCUCUUGAAGAUCAUCUUCAGAACACAUCAGCGUCAGCCCUUUCCAUGUGCGUCGAGAGGUUUCAUGGGCAACAAAGGCAUUCUUGGUGGCAAGAUUGUGAAUGCGAUUAACAUCCACCAAGAGGCUUUGCAUUUGACGCUUCAGCCAGUCAUGAUGCCUAUCCUGUUUCUGAUGAAGAGCCACAAGAAGCUCUCGGUCAUUGAGAACACGAGUGCGCUUCUUGGGUCGUUGGGCAAUUGUGCUAUCAGUGUCUUCAGUGGGAGCAGGAUGCGGUGCACGUGUAGUGCCAGCCAAAGGAUACACACGAGUGACUGCUUCAACUCCUUCAAUGUUCUGAGAAAAACUUUGAUGCUCUGCAUUCUGAAGACUUAGAGGUUCCUUGGUAGGCUCAGGAUAGAUGGCUUCAAUAGACAUAUCCACAUCAGGCAGAAAGAUCCGAUGAUUGCGAGCAGAUGGCUGAUAUGAGAUAGCGGAGUGAAGUUUGAUCAGCCGCAUUACCCAUGGGGCGUAGAACUUCAAGCCAAAAAGAUCAGAGCCUGAUGCAGCAAGUUGGCGAAUGAAGAAGUCAUGUGCAUUGAAGCAUUUGCCAUAAAGAAUAUAGAAGACCAAAGUCUUCAUUGCACCUUCCAGCUUGGCAUGUGGAGAGUGUCCUUUGAUGGGCCAGAGAGUUCGCCUUAUAAUGUGAUAAAUAGUCCUUGGUAGAUACUCAAGGUCUUCAGCAAAGAACUCUUUGGGAUAUGCAUCAUCUUGGGGCAAUGGCUUCAUCAUACUGAGCAUCUGACUCAUGUUAGGUUCAGGCUUCUGAAAGAUGCUCUCCACAGCUUCACUGUGAAGUUGACAGCCAGAUUCGUAGAGAUCGCCAGGAGUGGGUAGACCAGUGAGCUCAAUGAUGUCAAAGGCUUUGGCUUCGUGAUGAACAUUUCCUGUCAUCCACUCCAGGACCCAAGUCUUCGGAUCUUUGUUAUACCCGCGGAUGUGAAGUGUGGCAUAGAAUUGGAGCAGCAACUAUUCAUUCCAAUGCUCUUGAUCGGUGAUGAAUGGCAGCAAUCCAACCUCUUUGAAGCGAUCCAGGGCUUCUUCUAAACAGGGCAGACCAGCUAUUGCUUCAAUGUCAAGACGCUUGUGUGGGAAGAUGCGACCUCUAUUGUAAAGAAUGCAGGAGUAAUAGCUUCGCUGCGGAUAGCUCCAGAACCGAUCAGAUGAUAUUCUUUCCCUUGAGUAGGGGUUCCUAGAGCUAUUGAAGAAAGUGUUGUCUGCUUUGAAGCCAUUGAUAUUGAAGGAUCCAGGUGUUGAUGUAGGACCUGGGAACCUGGGCAAUCUUGGGAUUGGCUUCUGUAGCUGAGGCCUGUGCUCAACAUGAUAGUCGAACUGAGGACCGGCAGCAGGCGCCUGAACAGAGGUAGUGGGAUCAGUGGCUUUGCUGACUUUUGGUGCUUUUGUUGGUGAGGGCUCCACAUUAGCUUCAGCCAUGACAACGUCAGUGGCUUCAUUGGUGUUGGUGGUGGCAGCCUCAAGAUUUUCAACCUCCACUUGACAAGCUGGAGGGUCGGUCACAAUCACGUUCUCCUCGAGAACCGCUUCUUGGUGGGACAGGGGAGUAGCAGCUUGUGGGGCUUCUUCUUCAUCGGCUGAUGCAGCCGGAAUGUCUUCAGCAGCUUUAGCUUCAGACACAGAGACUGGAGGCCUUGGUCCUUUGCGAAGCCUAUGCAACGCUGGCGACGCCUGUGGAGUUGGUGUUGGCUGGGCCUCAAAGUCUUCUUCCUCUUGUGGGCGAUCAGCCCAUGAAGCAUCCUGAGCAAUUGGCGUCAGAGGACGACCAAUGCUGAUGAGUUCGCUGUGUGUUAGCACAGGCGAUGAUACCUGUUGGUGCUCGAGCUGAGGAAGGACUGCAUCAUCUUCAACAUGGUCACGGUGACCAAUGUCUUCAGCAGCGAUGGGAUCAGCUGCUAGAAAGUCUUCAGCUUCAUGAGCCUCUGUGAAAGCAGGCUCAUGGACAGUCAGUUGAUGUUCUUGUGGUUCAGCGUCAGGGUGAACCAUGGAGAUGGGUUCAACAAUCAAGGGCUCUGUGGGAGCAGCCCGUUCCUUCUUGGUCUUCCUCUUCUUCUUGGAGGGGACAGUAGGAGAGGCUUCAGGAUGUUUCCUCUUCCUGGCUUCAGCCUCAGCAGUCCUCGUCUUCUUCAGCUCUGAAGCAGUUGACCGGGCCUUUGGCUUUGAGCCAGUCAUGCUAGUUGGGAAGACAAUGGGAUCUGCUUCCUGCCUUGGUGUGAGAGGUUCGGCCACAAUGGGUUUCUUCUUCUGCUUAGCAGCCAUCCUGGGAUCAAUGUCCGGACGCCCAAGGGCCUUGCGCUUCUCAGCUUCGUUGUAGCCUUGCACACACUUGUCAGCCAGGCUCUUCGUGCGCUCCCGAGAACCCUGAGCUUCUGCGCGUUUCUUGAGAAAGGCUUCUUUGAGCUCGUCCAGCAUAAUCUUGAAGUUUUUCACCUCUUGCACGCUGAGCUUGGCCAUAUGCUUCUUGAACUGAGCCUUUUCAUAGUCAAUCUUUUUCUUCAGUUCGAUGAUGCGCUAAGCGAGAUCUAGCUCUGAAGCAAUGGCGCCAUGGAAGGCGACACUGAGGCCAAUUGGUAGUUGCAGAUCUUCGAAGCUGAUGUUUGGCGUGUCAAACCACUCAUCAAUGAAGUUGUGGAUGAUUGUCACGUCAAAGAGAGGCAGAUCAUUGAAGAUUUCUGCUUCUUCUUUGCUCUUGAUGAGUUGCUCAAGAGCGUUAUCUGCAAGAUCUUCCUCACUGGACAGAUCAAUGGCAUCGUUGCACAGAAUGGCAGCAGCUGUCAGCUCUUGGCUGGUGUGUGGCAGAGGCAUCUUGACCUUCUGGGGCUUGGAGAUGCGUGACAAAUCUUCAGACUGCACACUGUCUUUAGGAGGUGCAGUUGCCAAUGGCUUCGCUCGUGAGAUUUUUGGUGCAGAGGCAGGCUUGGAAGCUUUUGGCUGCUUCAAAUUCUUUGGCUUUGGCGCUGCAGGCGCUUCAUCUGAGUCAGCGUCAUCUGCAGGCUCAUUUACGGCAGUCCCUUGAACCACUAUGUGGGUGAUGAGACCUUCAAGGUUGUAGAAGGGCCCAAGAAGAUUGGGUUCAGCUUCGCGAGUUCCAUCGGCACGGGGAGCAGAGGGACCAAGGUUGAAAUCUAAUCCCAAAUACUUCUUGUUCCGCUUCGCUGAGUUCUGGGCAAACUGGAAGUUGCGCUUAAACAGAUUGUCGUCACGACACCAUAGCAGUGACGAUGGGUCAGCAUCCGUAGGCUGUGGUCCACGGACCAUGCAAGGAUAGAAGCCUUGUUCAAUGGCUUCAUCUCUGGUCCUGGGUUGAAGAUUUUUGUAGAGGAUGUCUCCCCAUGGUCGCUUGAUGGCAUUCUUUUCAGCAUAUUCCUUUGUCACAAAUCUGUACUUGAACCACUGUUCUGCCCAAUAGCGUCGAAUCCAUUGGAUUCGUGUCUUGCGCUGAUUGUAAUCCUCUUUAGGAUCUGUCUUGUACAACUUUGAGAGGUCAUCAGGCAGAUCUCUUGAUGUUUCUCCUCGACGCUUUCUGCCACCCUUCCUUGCUGAUUUUUCUGAAGCCAUGAACUUUAAACUGAAAGGCUUCAAUACGUUCAAAGGCGUCAAUGGCUUUCGCUUGCUGGACAGACGGGAACUGGCUUCGGGAGAAUUUAUGUGAUACUGUAAGAAUUCUGCAAAUGAAUGCAGACUAUGAGAACCAAGGGAUUCUCCCACGGACAUGUACCUGUGACAGCAUUAAGGUGCGAGGGAAGGGGAAGAGGUCAUAUGCAUUCUCAGAAGAUUUUGAAGAUAAAUCAGUUAAGAAGACAUUGACCUCAUCGUGCGAAGACAUUCACUCAUAGAUAAGGAGUUGGUUCCAGAUUUGUACGAAUCCACGGAUCAGUACAAGUGAGGAAUCUAACUACUUUGUGAAGCAUAAGUGAAUAUACUAGGCAUGUUAUGAGAUGCAGUAUGAAAGAGAUCCAACUUGUGUGAAUAGAAACUGCUUGUGGUAGAAAGUGAUAAAGCUAUAGGAUCAAAGGGGCUGUAAAAAGGAAGUUUUAUUUACCACACGAAGAACUGCUAGACGGAGUGGAAGAGGAGGCCGAGCAGUUCGAUCCUCCGUGCCCUAACUUGGCGACGGAGGACACCUACGGCGACAGCGGAGAAGACGAUGUCCACGGUCGGCGUGAAGACGGCGUCGGAGAGGUUGCGACAGCGAAGCGCUUCGUCACCAGCGUCGUCGAGGGCUAGCAGUGGCGCUAGGGUUCGUGCGAGAGUGGAAGAAGAGAUAAUGAUUGCUGUGAGGUGUGUAUUUAUAGGUACAGGGGCGGCACUGCGUUAUUACAUAGGUGCCCCUAGCGAUUCACAUCUGAGGAACACGUGGCCAUCAUGCAGCAUAUCGGGGGUUGUUCCACGUCCCACGCACACCUGGAUUGUCGGGUGGUCGUUCCCACUUCUCCGGGUUUCAGGUGAAGGAAUGAGCAUUGAAAACAUACUUAAUGUUUGUCUCUGUAUCUUCUGCUGACAAGGACGCAGAGAAGACAUUCGACAGUUUCAAUAGAAUGCAUAUGAUUUGGAGAGAUAGAGUUUGAGAUAGAAAGCAUAGAGAGGUUAGGGUCCAAUCACAUUCACUUAGUUAAAAAGAUUCAACAAGAAGACAUAGCUAUAAGUGAAUGCUGUAGAGGAUAGAACACUAGUAUAUAUAUAAUCAACAUAGUGAAGAUAAUCAUGAAGACAUGUUGAGAUUGAAGCCAAACCAAAUGUGAAGACAUAGCAAAUGUAACGCCAUGAGUGAAAUACUUCAAACAGAACAUUUGGUGGUGGCGUUACCCACCGUAUAGGAAGUAUUAGACCCAGACACGGCACAUAAUUAUCGUGGCGCUCCGAAGUCAAAUUCCACAUUAAUGUAUUCACACUUAGAAUGUAUGUCUUCAUUGAUUGAAGAUCUACUUUACUUCAUGUGUUGCACGUCUAAGUCAUCAAUAUGCAUAAGUGUUAGGAUGUGUGCCUGAUCACAGGACAUUUGAGGAUUCCAAGAUAUUUAGCUCACACCGUAACUUGCAAAAUCUCUUUUCAUCCAAGGGAUUGGUGAAGAUAUCUGCCAAUAGCUCUUCAGUGUUGACGUGCAUGAUAUCAAUAUCUUCCUUCACAACAUGAUCUCUGAGAAAGUGAUGACGAAUUUCAAUGUGUUUUGUCUUCGAGUGCUGAACUGGGUUGUUGGCAAUCUUGAUGGCGCUUUCGUUGUCGCAGUAGAGUGGCACUUGCUUCAGAUGAAUGCCAUAGUCCUUGAGUGUUUGCUUCAUCCACAGAAGCUGAGCGCAGCAAGAUCCAGCAGCAAUGUAUUCAGAUUCAGCAGUGGAGAGAGAUACACAGUUCUGCUUCUUUGAAGACCAACAUACAAGUGAUCAUCCCAGAAAAUGACAUGUGCCUGAUGUAGACUUGCGAUCCACUUUGUCACCAGAAUAAUCAGCAUCCGAGAAUCCAACCAGAUCAAACUCUGAGCCCUUUGGAUACCAUAAUCCUAGAGUUGGGGUGUGAGCCAAAUAUCGAAGAAUUCACUUCACAGCUAAGUGAUGCGACUCCUUUGGUGCCGCUUGAAAUCGAGCACACAUGCAAACACUAAGCAUAAUAUCUGGCCUAGAUGCACAUAGAUAAAGCAAAGAACCAAUCAUGGAGCGGUAUACCUUUUGGUCGAACUCUUUACCAUUGUCGUCAGGACCCAGAUGAUGCUUGGCUGGCAUUGGCAUCGUGAAGCCUUUGCAGUCUUGCAUACCGAACUUCUUCAGGCAAUCUUUGAGAUACUUCUCUUGAGAUAUGAAGAUGUCGUUGCGUUGCUGUCGUAUUUGAAGACCGAGGAAGAACUUCAGCUCUCCCAUCAUGGACAUCUGAUAUUGCUCUUGCAUCAUAUAUCAAAACUCUUCACUGUACUUCUGAUUGGUGCAGCCGAAGAUAAUGUCAUCCACAUAUAUUUGGCACACAAAAAGUUCACCAUCAUAUGUCUUCGUGAAGAGAGUGGGGUCGAGGGAACCAGGUAUGAAGCCUUUGCUCUUCAGGAAGUAUUUUGAGUGUGUCAUACCAGCCCGAGGGGCUUGCUUGAGGCCAUACAGUGCCUUGUUGAGCUUGUAUACCAUGUCAGGAUGUUUUGGAUCUUCAAAGCCAGGCGGUUGUGCAACAUACACUUCUUCUUCAAUCUUGCCAUUGAUAAAGGCGCUCUUCACAUCCAUUUGAUAUAGAAGUAUGUUAUGAUGAUUUGCAUAGGCCAGCAGUAUGCGUAUGGCUUCAAGUCUAGCCACAGGAGCAAAUGUUUCAUCAAAGUCAAUGCCUUCCACUUGAGUAUAUCCUUGAGCAACGAGACGAGCUUUGUUUCUGACAACUUGACCAUGCUCAUCUUGCUUGUUGCGGUAUAUCCAUUUGGUGCCUAUUAUGUUGUGCUUCCGAGGAUCAGGACGCUUAACCAGUUCCCAUACAUUAUUCAGCUCAAACUGUUGAAGCUCUUCUUGCAUAGCUUGAAUCCAUUCAGGUUCCAUGAAGGCUUCUUCAACUUUCUUGGGUUCUGUUAUUGAGACAAAUGCGAAGUGCCCACAGAAAUUUGCUAGCUGAGUUGCCCUUGAACGAGUGAGCAGACUGGGUGCAUUGAUGCUAUCAAUUAUUCUCUCAAUCUGCACUUCAUUGGCAACACGAGGAUGUACAGGGCGAAGGUUUUGCUCUUGCUGAUCAUUGUCAUUGUUAGUGGGAUUGUCUUCAGGCUAAGCAUUGUCUUCAGGUUGAUCAGGUGCGGAGAUGAUAAGUUCCUCUUCAGGUUGAGCUUCAGAGGGUAUGAUUUCUCCGGUUCCCAUAAGCUUGAUUGAUUCACUGGAUGGAACUUCAUCUAGCACAUUUGGGAGGUGCUCUCUUUGUGAAUCGUUAGUCUCAUCAAACCGCACAUCCACUAUUUCAACCACUUUAUAAUGAAAGAGAUUGAAGACUCUGUAGGAGUGCGAAUCCUUUCCAUAUCCAAGCAUAAAACCCUCAUGUGCUUUUGGUGCAAAUUUUGAAGUGUGAUGUGGAUCCUUGAUCCAGCACCUGGCGCCAAAUACUCUGAAGUAACUAACAUUUGGCUUCUUGCCAGUAAGGAGCUCAUAAGAUGUCUUGUUCAGAAGCUUGUGAAGAUAAACAUGAUUGAUUGUAUGGCAUGCAGUAUCAAUGGCUUCAGGCCAUAAUUUUCUUGGAGUCUUGUAUUCAUCAAGCAUCAUUCGGGCCAUCUCAAUGAGUGUUCUGUUCUUGCGUUCGACGACGCCAUUCUGCUAUGGCGUGUACGGGGCUGAGAAUUCAUGUGUGAUGCCCAAGGUAUCAAGAUAUGUAUCAAGGCCGGUGUUCUUGAAUUCAGUGCCAUUGUCACUUCUGAUGUGCUUUAUCUUGGCGCCAUAGUUGUUCAUUGCUUGAUUGGCGAAGCGUCUGAAGACAUCCUGCACUUCAGUCUUGUAGAGGAUUAUGUGCACCCAAGUAUAUCUAUAAUAAUCAUCAACAAUGACAAAGCCAUAGAGACAAGCAGUAGUAGUAAGAGUUGAGUAAUGAGUGGGACCGAAAAGAUCCAUGUGGAGCAGUUCGAAGGGUCGAGUAGUUGUCAUGAUUGUCUUCGAGGGAUGUUUGGCCCUCGUCAUCUUUCCUGCUUCACAGGCACCGCAUAAGUGAUCUUUCUUGAACUUGACGCCCUCGAUGCCUAUGACAUGCUUCUUCUUUGCAAGGGUGUGGAGGUUCCUCAUGCCAGCAUGCCCUAGCCUCCGAUGCUAGAGCCAGCAAUCUGAAGCUUUUGCUAGAAGACAUACGGCAAGCUGUGGUCCUGCUGAGAAAUCUACCACGUACAAAUCAUCUUUCCGAUACCCUUCAAACACUAGAGACUUGUCAGAUUCCAUUAGAACAAGGUAGCGAUAUUUUCCAAAUAUUACGAUCAUGUUCAAAUCGUAAAGCAUUGAGACAGACAUUAAGUUGAAGCCAGGGGAUUCUAGCAUGACUUUAUCCAUGUGUUGAUCCUUUGAGAUUGCAACUCUACCUAGACCCAAUACCUUAGUUUUACCAGUGUCAGCAAAUGUGAUGUGACUCUUGUCGAAUGGACGUAAGGUUGAGUCCAUAAGAAGGCUUCUUUUGCCAGUCAUGUGAUUGGUACGCCCACUAUCAAUAAUCCAUACUGAAGACACUGGUGUCGUACCCUACAGUGCAGUUAAGGGGAUAGGCUUCGCGAAGAGAAUUGUGAAGCAAAAACAUUUGACGAACCAGUGGGUUAUGAAAUCUUAGAUCCAGAUUAGGACUAAUAGGGAGAGUAGCAAGCGAUUCAGGAACGAAGUACAUAGUAAGACCAUUCGGGCAUUUGAUCUUGCGCCCUACAAGAUGUUCAAGGUCUCCAACAAUAGCAUCAGACGAUUUUGGUUUUCUGCUGGAGACCUUUCCCUGCAAAAGAGAGUUAAGCUUUCUUAGCCACCCACAUCUUCAAGGGUGGCUUAGAAGCAAUAAGUCUAAGUGCAGCGUCUGAGAACUUUGGCUUUGGAGCCCUAGCAAAAAGUCUUGCAGGCGGACAAUAGUACUCAUAAGAAUAAGCAGAAUAGUUCUUGGUCUUAUGAGCAUGGCGGUUUGAUGAACCGCGCUUAUAUUCAUAGGCCUGAGCAUGGUUUCCCUGCAAAACAUUUGCGUUAGUGUGACUCGGGUCAGUCCUCUAUCUGUAUGAAGCCUUUGGGACGUAUGAAGCCUAUGAUCUGGGGUUUGUCUUCUUCAUCUGUGGUGUCGUGAUGACAUUCACAGGAAGAUUUUCCAAACACUCUUUUGGCACCCAGAUCUUCUUCAUAGGCGGUCCAUUCCUGCAGUUAGUACCAAUGUACCUGGAAAACACUUCACCAUUCUGAUUCUUAAACAGUUUAUAGUUUGUAUCAAAGGAUUCAUCAAUGACAAUGGGGUUAGCACAAGUGAAGCCACAUAGAUUGGAAGGAUCUGCUGAAGGUUCCUUUGCAGCAACUCAUGUAGUUUUGGGGUACUGCUCAGGUUUCCAGUAAGAGCCAUCAGCAUUCAUUUUCCUUAGGAACCCAACACCCUCUUUUCUAGGGUUUCGGUUCAGGAUCUGUCUUUUGGGGACAUCACAUAGUGUCUGAUGCCCUUUGAGACUUUUGUACAUCCCUGUUUCAAGAAAUGUCUUCAACCUCGCAUUCUCAUCAGCAAUAGCAGUGGAAUCCUCAGUAGAGGGGUUAGUUCCCACAUCAACAGUUGAAGAUAUUGCAACAGUAGCAGCAGUGGAACAUUCAGCAAUAGAAGUAGCAUGAUCACGCUCAAUGCAUUUAAGACAUGGUGGUUCAAAUCCUUCCUGAGCGGAACUGAUCUGUUUGGCGCGAAGUGACUCAUUUUCUUUUUGAAGAUCUUCAUGAGCUGCUCUCAAUUUCUCAAGAUCUUGCUUCCUUUGAAGAUAAUCAUAGGAAAGCUUUUCAUGAGUAGUUGAGAGCGUUUCAUGACGACUUUCAAGUUCCUCAUACUUAACGUGAAGAUUUUUUAUGUCUUCAAUUAAGGACUCAUAUCGAGUCAUUUCAGCGCCUAACAGAUCAUUGCUUUUGUCUAACAGUUUUUGAAUAUGUUCCAUGGCUUUCUGUUGUUCAGUUGCAAUUUUAGCAAGUGUUUUGUAGCUGGGUUUUGAACCACAAUCAGAGUCAUCGUCACUAGAUGUUUGAUAGUGAGUAGUGUGUGUGUUUACCUUGGCACCGCGUGCCAUGAAGCAGUAGGUAGGAGCGGAGUAGUCCUUGUCAUUUGCAUCGGUGUCGGUGAGGAAGUCAUUGUCUUCAGUGUUGAAGAUGGACUUGGCAACGUAUGCUAUAGCUAGACUUGCAACGCCAGAAUCGGACUCCUCCUCAGACUCCACCUCCGCCUCCUCAGAAGUGGACUCCUCCUCUGAAUCCAUUUCCUUGCCAACAAACGCAUGUGCCUUGCCAGAUGAGCUCUUCUUGUGUGAUGAAGACUUUGAGGAAGACUUGGAAGAAGACUUUGAGUAUUUCUUCUUCUUCUUGUCGUCAGAGUCAUAUUCCUUGCUCUUCUUCUUCUUCCUGUUCUCAUUGUCCCACUGCGGACACUCAGAGAUGAAGUGGCCAGUUUUCUUGCACUUGUGGCAUGUUUUCUUCUUGUAGUCAUGAGCAGAAGCUUCAUAAUUCCUUGAGCUUGAUCGUGAAGACUUUCUGAAGCCUUUCUUCUUGGUGAAUUUUUGGAACUUCUUCACAAGCACAGCAAGUUCCUUUCCAAUGUCUUCAGGAUCAUCAGAACUGCUGUCAGAUUCUUCUUCAGAUGAGGAGACAGCUUUUGCCUUCAAGACACGAGUUUGCCCAUAGUUUGGACCGUAGAUAUCUCUUUUCUCAUAAAGCUGAAACUCAUGUGUGUUGAGCCUCUCAAGUAUGUCAGACGGGUCGAGUGUCUUGAAAUCAGGACAUUCUUGAAUCAUCAGGGCUAGGGUGUCAAACGAAUUGUCAAGUGAUCUCAGUAGUGUCUUGACGACUUCAUGCUUGGUGAUCUCAGUAGCGCCAAGGGCUUGAAGCUCAUUCGUGAUGUCAGUGAGUCGAUCAAAUGUGAGCUGGACAUUCUCAUUGUCAUUUCUCUUGAAGCGGUUGAAGAGGUUGCGAAGGACACUAAUUCUCUGAUCUCUCUGGGUUGAGAUGCCUUCGUUGACCUUGGAGAGCCAGUCCCAGACUAGCUUAGAUGUUUCCAAAGCACUCACACAGCCAUAUUGUCCUUUGGUCAGAUAACCACAGAUGAUAUUCUUGGCAGUAGAGUCCAGUUGAAUGAAAUUCUUGACAUCAGCAGCAGUGACACCUUCUCCAGCCUUGGGAACGCCGUUCUUGACGACAUACCAUAGGUCGACGUCAAUGGCUUCAAGAUGCAUGCGCAUCUUAUUCUUCCAGUAGGGAUAUUCAAUUCCAUCGAAGACGGGGCACGCAGCGGAGACUUUAAUUAUCCCUGCAGUCGACAUAGCUAAAACUCCAGGUGGUUAAACCGAAUCACACAGCACAAGAGAGUACCUUGCUCAUAUACCAAUUGAAAGUGCGUUAUAUCGACUAGAGGGGGGGUGAAUAGGCAAUUUUUAUGUAAGUCUUCAAAACGUGGAAGUUUCGAAGACAAACGAUAGAAAUAAACCUAUUACCAUGCAGCGGAAGGUAGACUACACUAGGCAAACCAUAGUCAAGUAUUCAAUGGAGUGAGAGCACAAUUACUAAUAGCAGCAAUGUAGUAAGGAUCAGGUAGGAAGAUGUUAUGAAGCCAAAUAGAACACGCAGUCACUCAGUGAAGACAAAAGAUAGUGCAAACAUACAAUGACUUCACAAGGAGUAAAGUAAGUAAAGGGAAGGGAAGGAUGAAACCACUGACUCGUUGAAGACAAUGAUUUGUUGGACCAGUUCCAGUUGUUGUGACAACUGUAUGUCUGGUUAGGGCGGCUAGGUAUUUAAACCUGAGGACACACAGUCCCGGACAUCCAGUCCUGAACACGCAGCUCAGGACACCCAGUCCUCACCAUAUUCCCCUUGAGCUAAGGUCACACAAACCUCGCCCAAUCACUCUAGUAAGUCUUCAAGGUAGACUCCCAAACCUUCACAGACUUUGUUCACCGGCGAUCCACAAUGUCUCUUGGAUGCUCAGAACGCGACGCCUAAUCGGCUGGAGGAUUCACAGUCCUCAAGUGUAAUAAGUCUUCAGAUCACACAGACAAGAAGACUUAAGUGAUGCCUAAUUCUCUUUGGCUCUAGGUGGUUAGGGCUUUAUCCUCGCAAGGAAUUCUCUCUCAAAGGCUUCAAGGUGGGUUGCUCUCAAACGACAAAAGCCGUACUCUAACUCUGAGCAGCCAACCAUUUAUGGUUGUAGGGGGUGGGCUAUUUAUAGCCACUAGGCAACCUGACCUGAUUUGUCCGGAAUGACCCUGGGUCACUAAGGAACUGACACGUGUUCCAAUGGUCAGAUUUCAAACUCACAUGGCAACUUUACUUGGGCUACAAGCAAAGCUGACUUUUCCGACUCUGGACAAGAUUCGCUCUCGUAGUCUUCACUCGAAGACAUAGGUUUUGGUUAAGCAUCACUUCAGUCAUUCUGACUGGUUCUCUUGGACCCCACUUAACAGUAUGGUGGUUCCUAUGACUCAACAAAGAAGAAAAAGAACUACAAAAGAUCUAAGUCUUCGAGCUCCAUAGGCUUCAUGCGAUGUCUUCUCUUGUCAUAGUCUUCAAUGUGAAUAUCUUCAUAUACCACCUUUGACAUCAAUGUCUUCAUACAUUUUUAGGGGUCAUCUCUGGUAGGAAAACCGAAUCAAUGAGGAACUUCUACCUGUGUUAUCCUGCAAUUCUCACAAACACAUUAGUCCCUCAACUAGGUUUUUCGUCAAUACUCCAAAAACAACUAGAGGUGGCACUAGAUGCACUUACACCCACCGCAAACUGCUGCCUGUAGUGUGAGCCCGAGCAACUCCGGCGUGCCUCCACCAUGUCCCAUGGUCGCCGCCGGCCAAACUCUGGCGGGCCGACGUGGCCACUUAGUUAGGAGCUAAUCACCCCUAGAACCACUGCGUAGAGGGCCCUGCUGCCUAAUUAAACCGCUAUUUAGUUUUAAUUUAGAUUAGUUAACAAAACCAGCGGACCCACACGUCAUGGUUGACUGGCUGACAUGGCAGUUGACCGGGCCCACCUGUCAGCGACACAAAUGACGCCGGGUCACUGACCAGUGGAACCCACACGUCAGGUCUGACCUGGGCUGGCGCCAUUGACCUUAUGACGUCAGCAUGGUGUCAUGUUGACGCAGUAUUGAUUUUCUGGAUUUAAAAUAAUUCAUAAAAUUGUAGAAAAUAUCCAAAACUUCAAAAAUUCAUAAUAAUUCAACCGUAACUCCAAAUGAAAUAAGUUAUAUAUGAAAAAUUAUUAGAAAAAUCCAAUCUAUCCAUCUGUACCGUUUUCAUGCAUUUUUAAACAAGUUAACUUGAUGUUUAGUGCAAAUCAUGGUAAAGCACUAUUUAAGAUCACAAAUGAGUUUGAACUUUGAAUCUUUGGUUCAAAAUAACUCAAACCCAUCUGGUUGUAGUUACAUUAGCCCAACACACUCAUUUUACCAUGUCAUGAUCAUGCAUCAUAUUGUGCAUUCCAUUGAUUAUGUUUCUUUCUCUGUUGCCGGUGGUUGUUCCCCCUCGGUAGAUGUAUGUUCCGACGAUGAGUUCGAUGACACCGAUGAAGAGCUAUUACUAUCUUCAGCAGUGUCAGGCAAGCAUAACCCCCUUGUUCAUUCCGAUACAAUCCCACUCUCUCACUCCUGCUCUCUUUUACUGCAUUAGGACAACAACGAUUCAACUGUUAUAUGUUGCGGUAGCUGAACCCCUUUCCUCUGCAUGACAUGUCAUUGCCACGGUAAAUAGAUGAAACCCACUAGCAUGAGUGGGAGUUGUUUGAGCCCUGAUGUGCCUACUUAUUCAUGUUUGUUUGUGAUGCCUGCUACUGCUUAGAGUUGAGUCAGGUAUGAUUCACCAGGGAUGAAUUGGAAUGUGGUGAACAUGUCCUACUGUUGAGAGCUAAGUGUGUGAACACGAUUUGGUAAAGGUAGCGGUGAGAGGCCAUGUAGGAGUACCUGGUGGGUUGUCUCAUUGCAGCUGUCCUUAGGAACUGAUUUAUGUGUUUGUGAUCCAUGAACAGUUACUACCACACAUUGGGCUUCGGGCACUCCAAGCUCUCUCGACUUAUUAAUCAACUCGAUCUCUGUCCAGGAGUUGCAACUAUUUUCUGGUGUUUGUAGGUAGUGUAAGUAGUCUACCAAGUGGCACCCGAUACAGGUGGACUUGGGACAGACUAGGCACAGGGGCACGGUGUACCAAGUGGCACCCGGAUGAUGGGCUUGAGAACCCUGUACACAUCGUUUGGGGCCGUGAGCGACACCCCGGCCGGAUCUCCUUGCGGAUGGAACCCGAAUAGGCGAUAAACCUGGACUAGAGACUUGUGGGGUUAGUCAGGUUGUGGCCGACUCCCUCGCCAGGCUUCCGCUUGAAGGUUGCUGAUAUACACGAUGUGUACAUGGUGGUAAGUGGCGAGAGCGUGUGUGAAGUACACCCCUGCAGCGUUAUCAUUAUCUAUUCGAAUAGCCGAAUUCCUCGGAUAUGGAAACUUGGACCCCUUGCAUAGUUCUUAGACAAGUGAAAGUGGAUACUCUAAAAUGCGCAAGAUAAGGGUGAGUGCUAUGGAUGGCGUUCUUGUAGGGAGACGGGAGCGGAUCCAUAGUGGUGUAUUGAUAUGGUGAAUAUGUGGACUCGUGUGCGCCACCUCAAAAGAGUUACUUGCAGUCGUAGUUCAGGAUAGCCACCGAGUCAAAGCUGGCUUGCUGCAGUUAAACUUCACCACCCCCUUUGUUGAUACUGAUGCAUAUGUAGAUAGUUCUGAUGUAAGUCUUGUUGGGUACAUUUGUACUCACGUUUGAUUAAUUUAUGUUUUGCAGAGAGACGUCAGUCUCGCUAGUAGUUCCGUGUGGACUUCGAUGUUUAGCUUGUUACCCCAGCUAUGAUCUUGUGCCCUCGGCAGGAUCUGGUAGAUAGUCAGGCUUCUCAGCCUUUUUCAUUUGUAGAAGUCUAUACUCAGACAUGUUAAGCUUCCGCAUGUGCUUCGACUUGUAUGCUCUGUAUGUUGGGUCAUGAGACCCAUGUUUGUAAUAUCUCGCUCCUCGGAGCCUAAUGAAUAAAUACUUGAGUCGUAGAGUUAUGUUGUGAUGCCAUGUUGUAUUUACACAUGUCGAGCAUAUUGUGUGUAUGAUUGAAAUGCUUGGUUUGUGUGGGAUCCGACAACCUAGUUGUUUAUCCUUGGUAGCCUCUCUUAUGGGGAAAUGUAGUCUUGUGCUUCCAUGAGCCAUAGUAGUCCGCUACAGCCCGGUUCACUAGAGUCCUGCUAGCCCAGCACUACUGCUUUGGACACUUGACUGGCCGGCAUGUGUUUCGCUUCGUUCCUGUGUCUGUCCCUUCGGGGAAAUGUCACGCGGUGACAUCCGGAGUCCUGCCUAGCCUGCUACAGCCUGGGUUCCCGGAGUCCUGUUAGCCCAGUGCUACAGCCCGGAUUCACACGCUGCUGACCGACAUGCUCGAUGUGAUUCAUGUAUGCUUGUCCCCAUAGGUUGGUGCCGCUUUGGGUUCAUGACUAGCCAUGUCGGCCCGGGUUCUCUGUCAUAUGGAUGCUAGCGACACUAUCAUAUACGUGAGCCAAAAGGCGCAAACGGUCCCGGGCCAUGGUAAGGCGACACCCGUGGGAAUACCGUGCGUGAGGCCGCAAAGUGAUAUGAGGUGUUACCGGCUAGAUCGAUGUGACUUGGAAUCGGGGUCCUGACAGCUUUGGUAUCAGAGCCUGACUGCUUGUAGGAUUACCAAGCCAAGCUGGUCGAAGUCGUGUCUAGAAAUGCUUUAGUUAUGUAAGGGAAUUGAUUGUGGAAGGGAACGUAAGGCUCUUUUUACUCCUUUACCCUAUGGCCUUCUAAUCUGAGUCAUCUUAUAUUUCUACGGGGUUAAGAACUAGGCUUCUCUUCUAUCUCUCAGGAUGACGUGUUACUAAACCGUAGUUGCCUAGGAUUGUUGAGUUCAAGCCCCAGUUCAGUUUCUACUACCUUCAUGUGAUGACAGUUGAUCUCAGAAUCUUGAUAUUGUGAUGUUGAGUGGUUAUGCCAUCAUUUUGCAGGAUGUCUCAAAUCAUUUUGAGCAUUUACAGUCGUUAUGCUGUCCGAGUCAUCCCAGGUUUCUAAAUAGUCUGAUGCAUUUGCAACUCCCUUCUUUCUGUUCCCGAUGUUCCUUUGGGCCAGAUUAACCACACUAAUCGGUGUGUUGAGGUACUAUGUUGCCUUGACGUGUAUAUUGGAGUUAGUAUUAUGACCCUAGGUGUCCUUGAGAUUUUAGCAAUGCUACCAUAUCCCCAGUGUGAUGAUUCUAGCCAUCAUUCUUUAAAGCAUCCCGUGAUGCCAUCUAGUAGUAGGUAUUCUACUCCUGGGUUCUUGACCCAAGAUCCACUCUACUUACCUCGUGUUGACAUUGUUGCUAGUUCCUUUAGGAUAUUAGUAACCUUGUGAUAGUCCUUGAGGUCUGUGGUAUAUCGUUCUUCCAAUACCAUGAGACAAUAUGGCAGAGGUUCUUUUGAACCAAAGGAUCACAACAAGAGUGAUCUUGAUGAGUUCUCCAUUUUAUCGUGAAUCUGCCAGUUCUACCUUUCUACAUGGGUUAUCUGGAAGAAACCUGUUGAACUUGGUUCGACAUAUUAAUCUAUGCAUCCACAACUCAGAGAGAUAUAUGUCCUCUUGAGUUGUCCCUCUUCUUUUGUAUUCUGACCAUCGUCUAUCAAUUGAUAGCCAGGAGUAAUUGUGCAUCCGUGUUAUCGAUGCUUAUUAUUCUUGUGGUCUGUUAAGCCAUUCUAUUUCAGAAUGACUAGGAGAAACAAACUCCAGUACCUUGUCCAUAUCUAGGAUUGGGUCAAAGCAAUUUCAUUCCGCAGAUCAAAAUGCCAAUCCAGCUUUUAUUCUGUUCUACCCUGGAAUAUUACCCUCUUUAUGUCAAGGAAGUCAUAGGAAUUGCACACCAUCCUAUGAAUUCUUGGUGCAGUGAUACUUCUCGCCAUCAUUAUUCAUUCCUCGGUCUCUGUGUUGUGGUGACCGGAAUGCCGACAAGUGAACCGUGAUGUGUGAAAUCAAUAUUCCUAGAAACUCUGUUGCUUGGUAGUUAAUGGACAUUAAUAUCAUUCUUAGGGUGUUGGUUAUCGAUUCACUACUCUAGGAUUGAUCGUGCUAUCUUGUCCUUAUUUCUGGUGCACUCUUCGAUCUUUGAGUUAGAAUUGAAUCCCUUACUCUUCUGAUCAUGUCUUCUUGCCUUGAAAAGCAAGAUUGUUCUCGAGCUUAGAGACAUAUCAGUGGUUCGUGAUUUUCCAGAUAUCUUCACGGAAGUAUCACCAGGUCGUCCCCUGACCGAUAUGUUGAGUUCGUGAUCAAGUUGGUUUUCCAAUCAACCACCCCUUCUCCAAGAAUCUAUGUUGGAUAUCCCUGAACUAGUUUGAUAAGCUAAACAAUAACGUGGAGAGUUGGAAGAUGAAAGCUUGUCCGACUUAGUUCAUCACUAAGGGAUAUCCUUGUGUGUGUGGGCGUUGAGGAAACAUGAUAUCUUCCUCGAUUGAUCCCCGUGAUCAGUUGUCGGUGCUAUUAUCUUAUCCAAUCCUUGAUUUGAGUGUGGGCUAUCGUCAAAUGAAAUCAGAGCCAACGAUAUUCGUAAUGUUGUCUACUUGUGGUUGACUCCUCGAGCAUACACCAUUACAUCUUUUGGUCUGACAAAUACUAUCACAUUGUUCACAUGAUGAUGGAAGUCCAGUGAUAUGGAAAUUCCGAUGAGUUGCUGUUGAGCCCAUCAGCAGCAUCUUGUCUCCCCCAUGAUUCAUGUUAAACAUUAAGCUGGCGUUGGAAACUUUGUAAGCAUUUUCCUUCAUGUUCGGCUCAUGAGGUAUAUGUUUGGUGAAAGAAGUGACUUUCUCCAAGUUCACGUGCAUUAGGUGUAAGUUGCCGCCGUGAAUUCAAGAAAGUUCGUCUUUGCUUCCUCUGGAAUCAUCCCAAGUCAGUCAUGCAUGUGCGAAGUAUUUUGUGGUCUGUUAGACUGAUCAUCUUCAUUACAUAUGUAUUCCCUAGCACACCAAGCCACUGAUUGAUCUGUUCAAGGAUAAGAAGUUCAUCGAUAAGUAUACAAGGACUUCGAUAUCCUCAAUGAUGGUUCCCCAUCUGAACCCGGUAGUGUUUUUAUUGUAAGACUACUAUGUGAUCAUGCUUGUCUUGGACAGCAUGUUCAUAGGUUUGUAGCAGAACCAGCUCAUGUUUUGAAGCUUGCUAUCGUAGUUCAUUUCCCAAGAAUCUUGCAACGUCAUCUCUUGAUUUGUGUUGCUACCUUCUUUUUCUAGAUACGCUGUCUGGAAUAUUCCGUUACCAAUCAUAUCUGAACCUCAGGCAGAUAUGAUAGUUGGAACAUUCCCACCAUUUGCAUUUUGUUCCCAGCUUGCACCGCCAUUGUGCCAUUUUUCCAUGGGUUGCCCUUCUUAGCAGUUGCUUCCAGGAUCAUCUCCAAAGGUGGUCCUACCAUGGGUCCCAUCCAUUCCCGAUGAUAAGCAAAAAUCAUCCAUUGCGUUGUCUUCAACAAGGUAGUCCACAUCAUCCAUUCUAGUCUGGGUAUGCCAUUCCUCUGAACUCCACCAAACGAUUGUUGGUGAGUUGCCUUAGGCUGGUAUAGAGAGUUUCAAUGAUCUCCGUAUCAAAAGUAAUUUUUUUCCACUUAAGGGAAUAACUCUAUGAGUCAUCUCCCCUAAGAUGUCUCGUUAUGGUAUCAUGGCAAUUACUUCCUCGCCACCUUGACACCAUCCACCAUCUUUCUAAGCGUGGAAUUGUUGCCCACCAAAUCAAACCCCGUCAUUUGUUCUUCCAUUCCUCUCGAUGUGUUUUGUGUCUCAACUCGAGAUGUUUCAACAUCUCAUUUCGUGAGUUGAUCUUGUAUAGCUCGAUCUUCGAGAAGAUCAAUCCUAGUAUAGCUUCUUUCCAUCGUCAUCGUGUGGAUAAAGAUCUCAAAGCGAGGAUGUCAAGAUCAACAUAUGCAACGAAUCAACAACCUUAUGAGGUGCAACCUGGAUCGUGAAGAUUGUGUUAGCUUGUGUCCCUCUGUCUUCUUACCUCACGAGUUGAAUCUCGGGAUGAGAUUCUUGUUUAGUAGGGGUGAGUUGUCACAUCCCUAGUUCUGGUAUGCACUAGGCUAACCCUUCAUGUGUGCAUCAUGUUUAAAUUUCUCAAAAACUUGAAAUGGGGAUUGCCUAAACCCCUAGCAUCAAAGGAAUCACUAGGUUCACCUAAAUUAUUUUUAGUACAUCCAAAUGGCUUUCAAAAAUGUUCAUCAUUUAUGGAAAAUGCUAUAAACAGUAACCACAGGUGAUGCACAUUUUUCCAUGACAUAUUUGGGCUCUGAAUUAAAUCAUACUUUAUUAGCAUUUGGGCAUUUAAAUACUAUAAAUCAUUUUAAAUGUCCAAAUGAUCCUGAAAGUAAAUGAGGGCUAUUGGAAAUAUUCCAAAGAGAGCCCACAAAUAUUUCAGGAUUUGUGAAAAUGCUCUAUCAUUUUUAUUAAAGCAAAAACAAUUACAGAAAAUAGAAAAACAGAAACUAAAUAGAAAAUCGGAGAGAGGGCACUGUACCUAGCAGCACACUUACCUAGCCCAGCUAGCGGCCCAGCCCACGCAGCCAUCCGCCAGUCAUCGUCCUCCUCGAGCCAGAAGGACGAGAGCGCGUGGCCACCGCGUGCAAGCACACGCCCUGGCCACCUCCUUCUUCUGCCGACGCCCUGGACGACCCCAGAUGGCGCCACACACCUCCCUGCAUCUCUCUCUCACUCUCCCUCGCUCUCACCCCCUUCCCUAGAUCCCUCUCUUUCGUGCCCGAGCGCACCGCAGCGCACCGCCGAGCACCACCGUGGCCGUCGCCUCUCCCUCGUCCCCUCGAGCAGUCCAGAGGCCCCGCCUCGUCGCCCUCGUCCUCUCUGCCGAGCCACGCGGCACCGGACGCCCCUAAACGUCGUCACCGCAGUCGUCUUCUACCUCGGCCAACCGAGAUCGCCGGCGCCCAUCCGUCGUCCAUGGUGCCUCCCCGAGCCUGCUGAGGCCUCCAUUGGAAUCCAUGUGAGCUCCCGCCCCGAACCCCUCUCUUCCCCGCCUCUUUUGCGCCAUGUAGCCCUAGUUUCACCGGAGCCGAUAGCUCGUCGCCGUCGGCCAUGCCGCCACCGCGGCUACGGCCGCGCAAGCUCGCCUCCAAGAACGUCAACGCACUUAGGGAGUCUCCAGGAGCUCAAAUCACCCGCCAGUUAGGCCUGCCCUGCACCAUAGCCGCAACCCCGUGCAAACCCGAAAUCCGUCCGCCGCCGCGAGCUUGAUUCCGGCAAGCUUGGGUCGUCCCAGCCCCUCCCUCCUGCCCCAGUAGACGCGCGCGAACGCCAGCUCACUGUAGAGCCAAACCCUGCCGCAAACCGCCGCCUGUAGUGCGAGCCCGAGCAACUCCGGCGUGCCUCCGCCGUGUCCCGUGGUCGCCGCCGGCCAAACUCCGGCGGGCCGACGUGGCCACUUAGUUAGGAGCUAAUCACCCCUAGAGACACUAAGUAGAGGGCCCUGCUGCCUAAUUAAACUGCUAUUUAGUUUUAAUUUAGAUUAGUUAACAAAAAUAGCGGACCCACGCGUCAUGGUUGACUGGCUGACGUGGCAGUUGACCGGGCCCACCUGUCAGUGACACAAAUGACGACGGGUCACUGACCAGUGGAACCCACAGGUCAGGUUUGACCUGGGCUAUCGCCAUUGACCUGAUAACGUCAGCAUGGUGUCAUGUUGACGCAGUAUUGAUUUUCUGGAUUUAAAAUAAUUCAGAAAAUUGCAGAAAAUAUCCAAAACUUCAAAAAUUCAUAAUAAUUCAACCGUAACUCCAAAUGAAAUAAGUUAUAUAUGAAAAAUUAUCAGAAAAAUCCAAUCUAUCCAUCUGUACCAUUUUAUUCCAUGUUUAAACAAGUUAAAUUGCUGUUUAGUGCAAAACAUGAUAAAGCACUAUUUAAGAUCACAAAUGAGUUUGAACUUUGAAUCUUUGGUUCAAAAUUGCUCAAACCCAUCUGGUUGUAGUUACAUUAUCCCAACACACUCAUUUUACCAUGUCAUGAUCAUGCAUCAUAUUAUGCAUUCCAUUGAUUGUGUUUCUUUCUCUGUUGCCGGUGGUUGUUCCCCCUCGGUAAAUGUAUGUUCCGACGAUGAGUUCGAUGACACCGAUGAAGAGCUAUUACUAUCUUCAGUACUGCCAGGCAAGCAUAACCCCCUUGUUCAUUCCGAUACAAUCCCACUCUCUCGCUCCUGCUCUCUUUUACUGCAUUAGGACAACAACGAUUCAACUGUUAUAUGUUGCGGUAGCUGAACCCCUUUCCUCUGCAUGACAUGUCAUUGCCACGGUAAAUAGAUGAAACCCACUAGCAUGAGUGGGAGUUGUUUGAGCCCUGAUGUGCCUACUCAUUCAUGUUUGUUUGUGAUGCCUGCUACUGCUUAGAGUUGAGUCAGGUAUGAUUCACCGGGGAUGAAUUGGAAUGUGGUGAACAUGUCCUACUGUUGAGAGCUAAGUGUGUGAACACGAUUUGGUAAAGGUAGCGGUGAGAGGCCAUGUAGGAGUACCUGGUGGGUUGUCUCAUUGCAGCUGUCCUUAGGAACUGAUUUAUGUGUUUGUGAUCCAUGAACAGUUACUACCACACAUUGGGCUUCGGGCACUCCAAGCUCUCUCGACUUAUUAAUCAACUCGAUCUCUGUCCAGGAGUUGCAACUAUUUUCUGGUGUUUGUAGGUAGUGUUAGUAGUCUACCAAGUGGCACCCGGUACAGGUUGACUUGGGAUAGACUAGGCACAGGGGCCCGGUGUACCAAGUGGCACCCGGAUGGUGGGCUUGGGAACCCUGUACACAUCGUUUGGGGCCGUGAGCGACACCCCGGUCGGAUCUCCUUGCGGAUGGAACCCGAAUAGGCGAUAAACCUGGACUAGAGACUUGUGUGGUUAGUCAGGUCGUGGCCGACUCCCUCGCCAGGCUUCCGCUUGAAGGUUGCCGAUAUACAUGAUGUGUACAUGGUGGUAAGUGGCGAGAGCAUGUGUGAAGAAGUACACCCCUGCAGGGUUAUCAUUAUCUAUUCGAAUAGCCGAAUUCCUCGGAUAUGAAAACUUGGACCCCUUGCAUAGUUCUUAGACAAGUGAAAGUGGAUACUCUAAAAUGCGCAAGAUAAGCGUGAGUGCUAUGGAUGGCAUUCUCGUAGGGAGACCGGAGCGGAUCCAUAGUGGUGUAUUGAUAUGGUGAAUAUGUGGACUCGUGUGCGCCACCUCAAAAGAGUUACUUGCAGUCGUAGUUCAGGAUAGCCACCGAGUCAAAUCUGGCUUGCUGCACUUAAACUUCACCACCCCCUUUGUUGAUACUGAUGCAUAUGUAGAUAGUUCGGAUGUAAGUCUUGUUGGGUACAUUUGUACUCACGUUUGCUUAAUUUAUGUUUUGCAGAGAGAUGUCAGUCUCGCUAGUAGUUCCGUGUGGACUUCGACGUUUAGCUUGUUACCCCAGCUACGAUCUUGUGCCCUCGGCAGGAUCUGGUAGAUAGUCAGGCUUCUCAGCCUUUUUCAUUUGUAGAAGUCUGUACUCAGACAUGUUAAGCUUCCGCAUGUGCUUUGACUUGUAUGAUCUGUAUGUUGGGUCAUGAGACCCAUGUUUGUAAUAUCUCGCUCCUCGGAGCCUAAUGAAUAAAUACUUGAGUCGUAGAGUUAUGUUGUGAUGCCAUGUUGUAUUUACACAUGUCGAGCAUAUUGUGUGUAUGAUUGAAAUGCUUGGUUUGUGUGGGAUCCGACAACCUAGUUGUUUAUCCUUGGUAGCCUCUCUUAUGGGGAAAUGUAGUCUUGUGCUUCCAUGAGCCAUAGUAGUCCGCUACAGCCCGGUUCACCGGAGUCCUGCUAGCCCAGCACUACUGCUUAGGACACUUGACUGGCCGGCAUGUGUUUCGCUUUGUUCCUAUGUCUGUCCCUUUGGGGAAAUGCCACGUGGUGAUAUCCGGAGUCCUGCCUAGCCUGCUACAGCCCGGGUUCCCGGAGUCCUGUUAGCCCAGUGCUACAGCCCGGAUUCACACGCUGCUGACCGACAUGCUCAAUGUGAUUCAUGUAUGCCUGUCCCCAUAGGUUGGUGCCGCUUUGGGUUCACGACUAGCCAUGUCGGCCUGGGUUCUCUGUCAUAUGGAUGCUAGCGACACUAUCAUAUACGUGUGCCAAAAGGCACAAACGGUCCCGGGCCAUGGUAAGGCGAGACCCGUGGGAAUACCGUGCGUGAGGCCGCAAAGUGAUAUGAGGUGUUACCGGCUAAAUCGAUGUGACUUGUAAUCGGGGUCCUGACAGUGAUAAAGUGUAUCAUAUCACGGGGUUUGGAUGCACCGGUGAAGUUUGCACCAACUCUCGAGGUGAGAAAGGGCAAUCCACGGUACCGAAGAGGCUAGCAAUGAUGGAAGGGUGAGAGUGUGUAUAAUCCAUGGACUCAACAUUAGUCAUAAAGAACUCACAUACUUAUUGCAAAAAUCUACAAGUCAUCAAAACCAAGCACUAUGCGCAUGCUCCUAGGGGAAUAGAUUGGUAGGAAAAGACCAUCGCUCAUCCCCGGCCGCCACUCAUAAGGAAAGCAAUCAAAGAACACCUCAUGCUUCAAAUUUGUCACACAACAUUUACCAUACGUGCAUGCUACGGGACUUGCCAACUUCAACACAAGUAUUUCUCAAUUUCAUAAUUACUCAACUAGCACAACUCUAAUAUUACCACCUUUAUAUCUCAAAACAACUAUCAAGAAUCAAACUUCUCAUCAUAUUUAAUGCAUUCUAUAUGAAAGUUUUUAUUAUACCCAUGUUGGAUGCCUAUCAUAUUAGGACCAAUUUUAUAGCCAAAGCAAAUUACCAUGCUGUUCUAAAAGUCUCUCAAAAUAAUAUAAUUGAAGCAUGAGACAUCAAUAAUUUCUAUAAGAUAAAACCACCACCAUGCUCUAAAAAGAUAUAAGUGAAGUACUAGAGCUAAAUUAUCUAGCUCAAAAGAUAUAAGUGAAGCACAUAGAUUAUUCUAAUAAAUUCCGAUUCAUGCGUGUCUCUCAAAAAGGUGUGUACAGCAAGGAUGAUUGUGGUAAACUAAAAAGCAAAGACUCAAAUCAUACAAGGCGCUCCAAGCAAAACACAUAUCAUGUGGUGAAUGAAAAUAUAGCCUCAAGUAAAGUUACCGAUAGAUGAAGACAAAAGAGGGGAUGCCUUCCGAGGCAUCCCCAAGCUUAGGCUUUUGGUUGUCCUUGGAUUUUACCUUGGGGUGCCUUGGGCUUUCGCAAGAUUUGGCUCUUUCCACUCCUUGUUCCGAAAUCCAUCAUAUCUUUACCCAAAAACUUGAAAAUUUCACAACACAAAACUCAACAGAAAAUCUCAUGAGCUCCGUUAGUAUAAGAAAACAAACCACCACUUUAAGGUACUGUAAUGAACUCAUUAUUUAUUUAUAUUGGUGUUAAACCUACUGUAUUCCAACUUCUCUAUGGUUCAUACCCCCCGAUACUAGCCAUAGAUUCAUCAAAAUAAUCAAACAACACACGAAAAACAGAAUAUGUCAAAAACAGAACAGUUUGUAGUAAUCUGUAGGUUUCGAAUACUUCUGUAACUCCAAAAAUCCUGUGAAAUUAGGACAUCGUAAAUAAUUUGUAUAUUGGUCUACUGAAGUUGUAAUUGGUAUUUUAACACUGUCUGGUAAAAAAUGAAAAUUAUUCUCGUGAGCGCAUACUUUCUGUUUUUUCAGCAAGAUCAAACAACAAUAAUCCAAGAAGAUCCUAAAGGCUUUACUUGGCACAAACACUAAUUAAAACAUAAAAAUUAUAAUAGAGGAUAUAUGAUUUAUUUAUUACUAAACAGGAACAAAAAUCAAGGAACAAAAAUAAAAUUGGGUUUCCUCCCAACAAGCGUUACCGUUUAACGCCCCUAGCUAGGCAUACAAACAAGAAUAGAUCUAGGUAUUGUCAUCUUUGGUAUGCAAUCCAUAUGUGGCUCUCAUAAUAGAUUAAUAAGGUAAUUUAAUUUUCUUUCUAGGAAAGUGUUCCAUGAUUUUCCUUAACGGAAAUUGGAAUCUAAUAUUUCCUUCUUUCAUAUCAAUAAUUGCACCAAUUGUUCUAAGGAAAGGUCUACCAAGAAUAAUAGGACAUGUAGGAUUGCAAUCUAUAUCAAGAACAAUGAAAUCUACAGGCACAUAAUUCAUAUUUGCAACAAUAAGAACAUCAUUAAUUCUUCCCAUAGGUUUCUUAAUGGCGGAAUCCGCAAGAUGCAAAUUUAAAGAACAAUCAUCAAAUUCACGGAAACCUAACACAUCACACAAAGUUUUUGGAAUCGUGGAAACACUAGCGCCCAAAUCACAUAAAGCAUAGCAUUCAUGAUCUUUAAUAUUAAUUUUAAUAGUAGGUUCCCACUCAUCAUAAAGUUUUCUAGGGAUGGAAACUUCUAAUUCAAAUUUUUCUUCAGAAGAUUGCAUAAAAGCAUCAACGAUAUGUUUGGUAAAAGCUUUGUUUUGAUCAUAAGCAUGACAAGAAUUUAACACAGAUUGCAACUAGGAAAUACAAUCUAUAAAAGAGCAAUUAUCAUAAUUAAAUUCCUUGAAAUCCAAAAUAGUGGGUUCAUUGCUAUGUAAAGCUUUGACCUCUUCAAUCCCAGUUUUACCAAAUUUUUCAUCAAGACCUAAAAACUCCGAAUCAUUGGGACGCCUUCUAAAUAAAGUUGACUCAUAUCCAGUCCCAAUUUUAUAAAGAUUCAUAUUGGCACACAAAGACUUAAUAGGAGACACACCAAUCACUUUUAGAUCUUCAUCAUUAUUAUCAUGAAAACUAGAAGAACAUGAGUUCAUAAAGCAAUCUUUUUUAGCACGCAUCCUAGCGGUUCUUUCUUUGCACUCAUCAAUGGAAAUUCUCAUGGCUUUGAGAGACUCAUUGAUAUCAUGCUUAGGUGGAAUAGAUCUAAGUUUCAAAGAAUCAACAUCAAGAGAAAUUAUAUCCACGUUCCUAGCCAACUCAUCAAUCUUAAGCAAUUUUUUAGGGUAUAAGAGUAUAUAUAGGCGAAAGAAUUAGGUCGGUGGAGCUACGAGGGGACCACGAGGGUGGGGGGCGCGCCGCCCUACCUCGUGGCCGCCUCGUGGCUUUCUUGACCUCCAUUCCAAGUCUCCUAGAUUGCAUUUGUUCCAAAAAUAUCCUCGUGAAGGUUUCAUUCCGUUUGGAUUCCGUUU
RNAcentral lists this long non-coding RNA (40255 nucleotides) under Triticum aestivum (bread wheat). RNAcentral's name for it is "long non-coding RNA (TAES_LNC009911)". Lineage: Eukaryota; Viridiplantae; Streptophyta; Magnoliopsida; Poales; Poaceae. The record is from RNAcentral.